GACGUAGGGCGCGAGCGUUGUCCGGAAUUAUUGGGCGUAAAGAGCUCGUAGGCGGCUUGUCACGUCGUUCGUGAAAACCUGCAGCUUAACUGUGGGCGUGCGGUCGAUACGGGCAUCACUGGAGUUCGGCAGGGGAGACUGGAAUUCCUGGUGUAGCGGUGAAAUGCGCAGAUAUCAGGAGGAACACCGGUGGCGAAGGCGGGUCUCUGGGCCGAUACUGACGCUGAGGAGCGAAAGCGUGGGGAGCGAACAGG
This 254-nucleotide ribosomal RNA is filed under the name uncultured bacterium. RNAcentral's name for it is "partial 16S ribosomal RNA". It matches the Rfam family "Bacterial small subunit ribosomal RNA", at positions 524 to 776 of the family's 1533-position model. The record is from RNAcentral.